AGCUUCAUGGCGCAGUGGAAGCGCGCCGGGCUCAUAGCCCGGAGGUUCUCCGAUCGAAACGGAGUGAAGCUG
RNAcentral lists this transfer RNA (72 nucleotides) under Hypoxylon fuscum. RNAcentral's name for it is "tRNA-Met". It matches the Rfam family "tRNA". Rfam says of the family: Transfer RNA (tRNA) molecules are approximately 80 nucleotides in length. The record is from RNAcentral. Lineage: Eukaryota; Fungi; Ascomycota; Sordariomycetes; Xylariales; Hypoxylaceae.